GCGAGCGUAGCUCAGUUGGUAGAGCACGACCUUGCCAAGGUCGAUGUCGUGGGUUCGAACCCCAUCGCUCGCUCCA
Molecule: transfer RNA, 76 nt
Filed under: Candidatus Omnitrophota bacterium
Lineage: Bacteria; Pseudomonadati; Candidatus Omnitrophota
Description: Candidatus Omnitrophica bacterium tRNA-Gly
Rfam family: tRNA
About the family: Transfer RNA (tRNA) molecules are approximately 80 nucleotides in length.
Source: RNAcentral